AGUCGAGCGGAAGGCCCUUUCGGGGGUACUCGAGCGGCGAACGGGUGAGUAACACGUGAGUAAUCUGCCCUGCGCUCUGGGAUAGCCACCGGAAACGGUGAUUAAUACCGGAUAGGACCACUUCACGCAUGUGAUGGUGGUGGAAAGUUUUUUCGGCGCAGGAUGUGCUCGCGGCCUAUCAGCUUGUUGGUGAGGUAACGGCUCACCAAGGCUUUGACGGGUAACCGGCCUGAGAGGGUGACCGGUCACACUGGGACUGAGACACGGCCCAGACUCCUACGGGAGGCAGCAGUGGGGAAUAUUGGACAAUGGGCGGAAGCCUGAUCCAGCAACGCCGCGUGAGGGAUGACGGCCUUCGGGUUGUAAACCUCUUUCAGUACCGACGAAGCGAAAGUGACGGUAGGUACAGAAGAAGGACCGGCCAACUACGUGCCAGCAGCCGCGGUAAUACGUAGGGUCCGAGCGUUGUCCGGAAUUAUUGGGCGUAAAGGGCUCGUAGGCGGUUUGUCGCGUCGGGAGUGAAAACACCGGGCUUAACUCGGUGCUUGCUUUCGAUACGGGCAGACUAGAGGUAUGCAGGGGAGAAUGGAAUUCCUGGUGUAGCGGUGAAAUGCGCAGAUAUCAGGAGGAACACCGGUGGCGAAGGCGGUUCUCUGGGCAUUACCUGACGCUGAGGAGCGAAAGUGUGGGGAGCGAACAGGAUUAGAUACCCUGGUAGUCCACACCGUAAACGUUGGGCGCUAGGUGUGGGGCCUAUUCCAUGGGUUCCGUGCCGUAGCUAACGCAUUAAGCGCCCCGCCUGGGGAGUACGGCCGCAAGGCUAAAAUCAGUU
This 832-nucleotide ribosomal RNA is filed under the name Nocardioides sp. 7G-C8-86B. Its description in RNAcentral is "bacterial SSU rRNA". It matches the Rfam family "Bacterial small subunit ribosomal RNA", at positions 60 to 906 of the family's 1533-position model. The record is from RNAcentral. Lineage: Bacteria; Bacillati; Actinomycetota; Actinomycetes; Propionibacteriales; Nocardioidaceae.